This 1259-nucleotide long non-coding RNA is filed under the name Sus scrofa (pig). RNAcentral's name for it is "lncRNA (ENSSSCG00055014609.1)". Lineage: Eukaryota; Metazoa; Chordata; Mammalia; Artiodactyla; Suidae. The record is from RNAcentral.
UAUGCUCUCUCUUAUUUUUAUAAAUUUUCUUUUUAAGAACCUGAGCCUUUUACCCUGUAAUGUUCCCCAUGGUCUGGAUUUUGCUGAUUGCAUAUUCAAGAAACAGUUCGAUGUGUUCCUCUGAGCUCUGUAUUUCCUGCAAAUUGGUAGCUGGAUCCAAAGGCUUGAUUAGACUUAAGUUUGAUCCCUUUGGCAUGACUAUAGAUGGUGGUGUGUUUUUCAUCAGGAGGCACAUAAUGUCUGCUCGUCUCCCUUUUUGUGAUGCGAGCAGCUGUUGAUGUUCAAUGCCUGGAUCUAUUAAAUCACUGGGGGUUGCAAAUGGCGAUGUUCUAAUUCCAUCAUUUCUUUUUUCAUUUAUUAGUUGGAAUACUUCCAUAAAGAGAUGUUUCCUUGCAUCUACGAUUUGGUUACCCAGUGGUAUAGUUUCUAAAGAAAAGGCAGGAUGAAUCCUUGAUUGUCUUAUUUAUCAGUCUUCAAGAUAACGAAUAGAUGCCUUUCAUUCUCCGAUAGAGACCAGUUUUUUUUUUUUUUUUCCAAAUAGCAUUAGGAAUCCAUGGAUUUAAAUAUAAUUGAUCUAAAUGUAUCUGUACAACUAUUAUUCUUAUUAAAUAACAAAAUGUUCCAUCUUUGGCAGUGGGAACUUCCUCAAUUUGUUCCUGAGUCCUGCCGACCUGACCCUAGUGGUCCUUGAUAUCUUUCCCACUCUCUGCUACGACAAGAUACUCCAGGCUCACCUUAUAUACCUCCUGCCCCGGACCUGAAAUCAGCCAUUCCUCCAAGCAGCCCUGACUUCUUUUUAGUGGGAUAUGGUGCUGAAGAUGCUCAUUGCUACUUUACAACGUUAGUCAUUGCUUUUAGUCCUUUUAGUGGACAGAGAUGAGGCGUUAAUGAGGGGAAAAAACCUAUAUACAGCCAAUUCUGCUAUAACGCUUGUUUUGAAAAUGCAAAUUCGUUCAAAUACAAUUGGUAUAUUAAGGAACAAUGUGGAGUUCCCGUCGUGGCGCAGUGGUUAACGAAUCUGACUAGGAACCAUGAGGUUGCGGGUUCGGUCCCUGCCCUUGCUCAGUGGGUUAACGAUCCGGCGUUGCCGUGAGCUGUNUGGUGUAGGUUGCAGACGUGGCUCGGAGCCCGCGUUGCUGUGGCUCUGGCGUAGGCCAGUGGCUACAGCUCCGAUUCGACCCCUAGCCUUGGAAUCUCCAUAUGCCGUGGGAGCAGCCCAAAGAAAUAGCAAAAAGACAAAAAAAAAACAAAAACAAAAA